This 433-nucleotide ribosomal RNA is filed under the name uncultured bacterium. RNAcentral describes it as "partial 16S ribosomal RNA". It matches the Rfam family "Bacterial small subunit ribosomal RNA", at positions 29 to 507 of the family's 1533-position model. The record is from RNAcentral.
AACGAACGCUGGCGGCAUGCCUAACACAUGCAAGUCGAACGAAGCCUUCGGGCUUAGUGGCGCACGGGUGCGUAACGCGUGGGAAUCUGCCCUUGGGUUCGGAAUAACAGUUAGAAAUGACUGCUAAUACCGGAUGAUGUCUUCGGACCAAAGAUUUAUCGCCCAAGGAUGAGCCCGCGUCGGAUUAGCUAGUUGGUGAGGUAAAGGCUCACCAAGGCGACGAUCCGUAGCUGGUCUGAGAGGAUGAUCAGCCACACUGGGACUGAGACACGGCCCAGACUCCUACGGGAGGCAGCAGUGGGGGAUAGUGGACAAUGGGCGAAAGCAUGAUCCAGCAAGGCCGCGUGAGUGAUGAAGGCCUUAGGGUUGUAAAGCUCUUUUACCCGGGAUGAUAAUGACAGUACCGGGAGAAUAAGCCCCGGCUAACUCCGUG